RNAcentral lists this ribosomal RNA (481 nucleotides) under uncultured bacterium. Its description in RNAcentral is "bacterial SSU rRNA". It matches the Rfam family "Bacterial small subunit ribosomal RNA", at positions 28 to 509 of the family's 1533-position model. The record is from RNAcentral.
GACGAACGCUGGCGGCGCGCUUAACACAUGCAAGUCGUGCGGUGUCGAAGGCAAGUCUUACGACAAGCCUUCGACACAGCGGCGAACGGGUGAGUAACACGUGAGCAAUCUGCCCCUGACUCUGGGAUAAGCGCUGGAAACGGCGUCUAAUACUGGAUACGAGCUGCGAAGGCAUCUUCAGCAGCUGGAAAGAACUUCGGUCAGGGAUGAGCUCGCGGCCUAUCAGCUAGUUGGUGAGGUAAUGGCUCACCAAGGCGACGACGGGUAGCCGGCCUGAGAGGGCGACCGGCCAACGACUGGGACUGAGACACGGCCCAGACUCCUACGGGAGGCAGCAGUGGGGAAUAUUGCACAAUGGGCGAAAGCCUGAUGCAGCGACGCCGCGUGAGGGAUGACGGCCUCGGUUGUAACGUCUUCUGCAGGAGAAGACGCAAGUGACGGUACCGUCGCAGAAGAAGACACCGGCCGUAACUAACGUACG